UUUUGUUUUCCAAUUUGUCAAAAUUUAUUUUGGUAGUUUUUUUAAAGAAUGGGAAAUCACAUGUAUUCCGUGGUUCAGCCCCACUUCAUAUCAUUUGAACAUUUUGCUGUUUUCAGCAGUAGAACAGUCCCAGGAUGAUUACAUAAAUGAUAUGACCAAUUCUUAGUAAAACUAGACAUCCUGACGUUCACAUUAACAAUUUUCAGACGUUCCUCAAGUUGUGAGAGGUCUUUGAAGUGUCUGAGGCGCUGAAUGAUAGGCCUGUCAACUCGCAGACAUGUCAGCUUAACAGGAGAAAAACGGCUUCCAUGCACGCAGACCCUCUACAGAAGAAUGGCAUUAAAAGCAAAACCAAUAAAAAGCCAUCUAUCUUUGCAUGGAACAACUCUAGUGCUUUCACCUAGUAUCAUAGAUUUACUGUGCAGAUUCCUCCUCAGGGCUGAGGCCCUCAUUUCUCCACUGACUACAAAAUGUGACUGUUGAUAACCCACAGCUGAAUCUCACUUCAAUAAUUUACCUCAGCACAGAGAAAAUGCUUUAGUCGUGGUUCAGGUCUUCAGUCCUCAUUCAAAUGCCUGGUCAAUGAAGAGAUACAAAAUCUGGCUCUCCUUAUUCCAAUUUGGGAUAUCACUGAAGGACGAGCCCAGGUACAGUAUUAUCAUGUGAUCUGCUGGGUGCUUGUUGUAACCAAAUUGCAGCUCAAUUUCUUGUUCUUUCCAAUUCUGCUUCCCUCAAUCUUUACAGUUACAAUAUCUCUAACUCUCCCUCAUAAACUACCUGCCCUCGAAUAUAUGUCUCAGUGUCUGUUUUUUGAAGAGCCCAAGUUCUAACAGAUCUCCUGCUGUUUCUUGACAUUAUAUGUAAAAACCUAUAAAAGAAAAUAUAUGUUGCAGAAAUUUCCAAUAAUCUAAUUCUGUGAUGAUUUAUCAGAAACAUGCUAGUUGUUUUUAAAGAUAUUUCUACUUCAAGUAAGUUUUAAUAAUUCUGAAUUCAAUAAUAAUUAGAUAUUAUAGAUAGGAUUUUAAAAAACAUUUUUCCUCUGUAAAAUCAGUUGAUUAAUAUCUAUUAAUAGCUUUGGAAAAAUGAAAAAAAAAAAAAAAAAAAGCACAUCUCUUCCUAAAGUUUUUACUGUAUUUCCAUGCUCAUUUUACAAGUAUGAAAAAAUUAGAGCUAAAAUA
Molecule: long non-coding RNA, 1178 nt
Filed under: Macaca mulatta (Rhesus monkey)
Lineage: Eukaryota; Metazoa; Chordata; Mammalia; Primates; Cercopithecidae
Description: lncRNA (ENSMMUG00000063111.1)
Source: RNAcentral